GGAUCCAGACUUUGAUUAUGGCUCAGGAUGAACGCUAGCUACAGGCUUAACACAUGCAAGUCGAGGGGAAACGACAUCGAAAGCUUGCUUUUGAUGGGUGUCGACCGACGCACGGGUGAGUAACGCGUAUCCAACCUGCCCAUCACUUGGGGAUAACCUUGCGAAAGUAAGACUAAUACCCAAUGAUAUCUCAAGAAGACAUCUGAAUGAGAUUAAAAAUUUAUCGGUGAUGGAUGGGGAUGCGUCUGAUUAGCUUGUUGGCGGGGUAACGGCCCACCAAGGCGACGAUCAGUAGGGGUUCUGAGAGGAAGGUCCCCCACAUUGGAACUGAGACACGGUCCAAACUCCUACGGGAGGCAGCAGUGAGGAAUAUUGGUCAAUGGGCGAGAGCCUGAACCAGCCAAGUAGCGUGCAGGAUGACGGCCCUAUGGGUUGUAAACUGCUUUUAUAAGGGAAUAAAGUGAGUCUCGUGAGACUUUUUGCAUGUACCUUAUGAAUAAGGACCGGCUAAUUCCGUGCCAGCAGCCGCGGUAAUACGGAAGGUCCGGGCGUUAUCCGGAUUUAUUGGGUUUAAAGGGAGCGUAGGCCGGAGAUUAAGCGUGUUGUGAAAUGUAGAUGCUCAACAUCUGCACUGCAGCGCGAACUGGUUUCCUUGAGUACGCACAAAGUGGGCGGAAUUCGUGGUGUAGCGGUGAAAUGCUUAGAUAUCACGAAGAACUCCGAUUGCGAAGGCAGCUCACUGGAGCGCAACUGACGCUGAAGCUCGAAAGUGCGGGUAUCGAACAGGAUUAGAUACCCUGGUAGUCCGCACGGUAAACGAUGGAUGCCCGCUGUUGGUCUGAAUAGGUCAGCGGCCAAGCGAAAGCAUUAAGCAUCCCACCUGGGGAGUACGCC
Molecule: ribosomal RNA, 894 nt
Filed under: uncultured Bacteroidota bacterium
Lineage: Bacteria; Pseudomonadati; Bacteroidota
Description: bacterial SSU rRNA
Rfam family: Bacterial small subunit ribosomal RNA
Source: RNAcentral